Molecule: ribosomal RNA, 305 nt
Filed under: uncultured bacterium
Lineage: Bacteria
Description: bacterial SSU rRNA
Rfam family: Bacterial small subunit ribosomal RNA
Source: RNAcentral
AGCCCUACGGGGCGCAGCAGUGGGGAAUAUUGCGCAAUGGGGGGAACCCUGACGCAGCAACGCCGCGUGAGUGAAGAAGGCCUUCGGGUUGUAAAGCUCUUUAAUCAGGGACGAAGAGUGACGGUACCUGAAGAAUAAGCUCCGGCUAACUACGUGCCAGCAGCCGCGGUAAUACGUAGGGAGCAAGCGUUAUCCGAAUUUACUGGGUGUAAAGGGCGUGUAGGCGGGCCUGCAAGUCAGAAGUGAAAUCUGAGGGCUUAACCCCCAAACUGCUUUUGAAACUGUGGGUCUUGAGUGAUUGAGAG